AUUGAACGCUGGCGGCAGGCUUAACACAUGCAAGUCGAGCGGGGAAAGGUAGCUUGCUACCUGACCUAGCGGCGGACGGGUGAGUAAUGCUUAGGAAUCUGCCUAUUAGUGGGGGACAACAUCUCGAAAGGGAUGCUAAUACCGCAUACGUCCUACGGGAGAAAGCAGGGGACCUUCGGGCCUUGCGCUAAUAGAUGAGCCUAAGUCGGAUUAGCUAGUUGGUGGGGUAAAGGCCUACCAAGGCGACGAUCUGUAGCGGGUCUGAGAGGAUGAGCCGCCACACUGGGACUGAGACACGGCCCAGACUCCUACGGGAGGCAGCAGUGGGGAAUAUUGGACAAUGGGGGGAACCCUGAUCCAGCCAUGCCGCGUGUGUGAAGAAGGCCUUUUGGUUGUAAAGCACUUUAAGCGAGGAGGAGGCUACCGAGAUUAAUACUCUUGGAUAGUGGACGUUACUCGCAGAAUAAGCACCGGCUAACUCUGUG
Molecule: ribosomal RNA, 485 nt
Filed under: uncultured bacterium
Lineage: Bacteria
Description: partial 16S ribosomal RNA
Rfam family: Bacterial small subunit ribosomal RNA
Source: RNAcentral